RNAcentral lists this long non-coding RNA (623 nucleotides) under Nicotiana benthamiana. Its description in RNAcentral is "long non-coding RNA (NBEN_LNC031561)". The record is from RNAcentral. Lineage: Eukaryota; Viridiplantae; Streptophyta; Magnoliopsida; Solanales; Solanaceae.
GGAAUGAUACCAGAGUUUGCUAUGGCCAUGCGUACAACUGUCAACUCUGCCCUUGGUUUGGAUAAGACUAAGACUCUUUUAGCCAAAAGAAAAGCUUUAGCAAUGGAAGCUGAAGAUGAAGAAGAUAAUACCUCUUUAGUAUCUAGGCCAAGAGCUAGGAGAUGUGUUGUUUUGAAUGAUGAAAUUGAAGACUCUCAUGCUCGUGCCUCUGUUGCAAUUACUUGUUCUACAAUUACUUCCACUACCGAACCUGUUCUUAUCCAAUCCGAUGAAGAUACCGUGCCGAAAGACACAAGUGAACCAACUCAACCUCCUUCCGAUAGUGGUUUUUUGAGUGGCGAGCUCGGACCUGUUUUUGAUAAAGCUCCUCUCUCUUUAUUCAUUAUGAAGAUACCGUGCCGAAAGACACGAGUGAACCAACUCAACCUCCUUCCGAUAGUGGUUUUUGGAGUGGCCAGCUCGGACCUGUUUUUGAUGAAGCUCCUCUCUCUCCAUUCAUUCCUUCUUCUUUCAUUCCUUUGCCAAUUGUAAGUACUUCACCACCAAUAAUUGUUUCCUUGCCUUCUCCAGUUGUGAAUACUUCCAUUCCUGUUCACAAAUCAAUUUCUAUAGCUCUCCUUCCC